UCCGGGGGGGGCAAGCGUUGUUCGGAAUUACUGGGCGUAAAGGGCUCGUAGGCGGCCAACUAAGUCAGACGUGAAAUCCCUCGGCUUAACCGGGGAACUGCGUCUGAUACUGGAUGGCUUGAAUCCGGGAGAGGGAUGCGGAAUUCCAGGUGUAGCGGUGAAAUGCGUAGAUAUCUGGAGGAACACCGGUGGCGAAGGCGGCAUCCUGGACCGGCAUUGACGCUGAGGAGCGAAAGCCAGGGGAGCAAACGGG
This 253-nucleotide ribosomal RNA is filed under the name uncultured bacterium. RNAcentral's name for it is "partial 16S ribosomal RNA". It matches the Rfam family "Bacterial small subunit ribosomal RNA", at positions 524 to 776 of the family's 1533-position model. The record is from RNAcentral.